GACGAACGCUGGCGGCGUGCUUAACACAUGCAGGUCGAACGGAAAGGCCCUGCUUGCAGGGUACUCGAGUGGCGAACGGGUGAGUAACACGUGGGUGAUCUGCCCUGCACUUCGGGAUAAGCCUGGGAAACUGGGUCUAAUACCGGAUAGGACCAUCGUUUAGUGUCGGUGGUGGAAAGUUUUUCGGUGCAGGGUGAGCUCGCGGCCUAUCAGCUUGUUGGUGGGGUAAUGGCCUACCAAGGCGUCGACGGGUAGCCGGCCUGAGAGGGUGGACGGCCACAUUGGGACUGAGACACGGCCCAGACUCCUACGGGAGGCAGCAGUGGGGAAUAUUGCACAAUGGGCGCAAGCCUGAUGCAGCGACGCCGCGUGGGGGAUGAAGGCCUUCGGGUUGUAAACUCCUUUCAGCCAUGACGAAGCGUGAGUGACGGUAGUGGUAGAAGAAGCACCGGCUAACUAC
This 460-nucleotide ribosomal RNA is filed under the name uncultured Actinomycetes bacterium. Its description in RNAcentral is "bacterial SSU rRNA". It matches the Rfam family "Bacterial small subunit ribosomal RNA", at positions 28 to 504 of the family's 1533-position model. Lineage: Bacteria; Bacillati; Actinomycetota; Actinomycetes. The record is from RNAcentral.